RNAcentral lists this long non-coding RNA (201 nucleotides) under Elaeis guineensis (African oil palm). Its description in RNAcentral is "long non-coding RNA (EGUI_LNC007233)". Lineage: Eukaryota; Viridiplantae; Streptophyta; Magnoliopsida; Arecales; Arecaceae. The record is from RNAcentral.
AUGCAGGAAUUGAUCCCAAUAGCUAUUUGCCGUGUGUUGCCAAAAAAUAUGAGAAUAGCUGUUAUUCAUCUUUACAACUUCUACAAAGAUAUUUGUACAAAAAGAUUACUUAAGAAAGACGUGAAGAAAAUGAAGGUAAGGGCGGUGACUAUAUUAUGUGAUCUGAAGAAAAUACUUCUACCAUCAUUUUUUACAGUUAUG